Molecule: small nuclear RNA, 175 nt
Filed under: Erinaceus europaeus (western European hedgehog)
Lineage: Eukaryota; Metazoa; Chordata; Mammalia; Eulipotyphla; Erinaceidae
Description: 7SK RNA
Rfam family: 7SK RNA
About the family: 7SK was discovered as an abundant small nuclear RNA in the mid-70s but a possible function has only recently been suggested. Two independent studies have found that 7SK RNA binds the CDK9/cyclin T complex (known as elongation factor P-TEFb). P-TEFb activates transcription by phosphorylating the C-terminal domain of RNA polymerase II.
Source: Rfam by way of RNAcentral
GCAUGUGAGGAACCUGGCUGCGACAUCUGUCACCCCAUUAUCGCCAGGGUUGAUUCAGCUGAUCUGGCUGGCUACGCAGGUGUCCCCUUCCUCCCUUACUACUCCAUGUGCGUCCCUCCCAAAGCUGCGCGCUUGGUCGAAGAGGACAGCUUUUCCCGAAUAGAGACGGACAGGG